Long non-coding RNA from Ahaetulla prasina, 352 nucleotides. RefSeq lists it as uncharacterized. Lineage: Eukaryota; Metazoa; Chordata; Lepidosauria; Squamata; Colubridae. The record is from RefSeq and is a predicted model, not a curated record. The transcript has 3 exons.
GCAGCUUCUUCCCUUCAAGCAUGCCCUUCAGCAAAGCCACAAUUUCCUAAAAAAAAUAUGUAGAUCACGCUGAGUGGCUGAGUCUAUUAAAAAUAGAAGUAGACAAGGACAAACCAUUGUGAAAUACUUUGCCAAGAAAACAGUAGGGAAUCCAGACAGUUGCCAAGAAUCAAUAAUGAUUUGAAGAUCAAUGCUUAUUGGCUGUAUUAUUGGAACAGAAUGACAUACAAAAAUGAUGCUUGUGGUGAAAUAAACUAUAUGAGUAAUGCCAAGACAUACAUUUCUUCACUUUAGAUGAUGAACACAGGAAUUCUUUCUACACUAUACUGUACUUGUGGACAUUUUUGACAAU